AUGAGGGAAAUUGUAUUUGGAGACCUUUAUGAUACUGAAGUAUACAACCCUUUUUAUAUGACAAAAAAGGACCCAAAUUAUGGAAAGGUUAUGAUCUCAUCAGUUUGUGAUCCUCUGUUUAGAAGACAGCAAGAAGAAAAAAAAAACAAGAAAAAAAAACAAGAAGACAGCAAGAGAUGGAUGAAGAGAGCUGUUUUUUAAUAUAAGACAGUCCUGAAAAACUUACCUAUACAGAAAAUAAAUAUCUGCCUGAUAAAGAGAACAAGACUACCGACCUACGAAUAAAAGGGAUGAGAAGAAUUGUGUGGUGAGCAGAAGAGAUCUUGGGGGCAAGGGGGAAGAUCAGGUGGGUGGCAAGAGUUUGCAACAUGCACAGGAUAGCAGACCCUGAUAUUGAAAUCUGAAUCAUUGACAAAUCCCUCCUCCCAUGGGUUCUGCAGGGCAGAGAAGGCAGGAGCCAAAGAAGGGAGUGAAAAAGAGGAUGCAGAAGAGGCUUUAUUUUAUGCACAAUGAUGGGUUUGCUUCUCAACUCUGUGCUGCUGCAUAUGGGCAGCCCGAGGCAGGGAGCCUGAGGCUCUAGAAACUCAGAAAAGGAGCAUUUUGGUGAAUGCUGGGGGGGACAGACUAUGCCCUUUUAAGAUGAGAGAAACCCUGGCCACAGUGUUCUGCCCUCUAAGAUUUCUUUUCUCUUCUGCCAUUUUUCUAGCAUUCAUACAUCCAAACCAAACCAAAAGAUUUGUUUUCCUUAGUAGUCAUAAUAGGUGGGGAUGUUCUGAAAUGAAAUUUAUAUGAAAAAUUAGGCCAAAUGACGGUUUCAAUACAUGAAGGUUUUUGUUUUUUUAAAGAUUUUACUUCUUUGAGAGAGAUACAGAAAGUGAGCAUGAGCAGGGGGAGGGGCAGAGAGAAGAGAAGCAGGCGCCCUGCUGAGCAGGGAACCCAAUGCAGGGCUCCAUGCCAGGACCCCGGGAUCAUGAUCUGAGCCAAAGGUAGGUAUCUAACUGACUGAGCCACCCAGGCAGCCCCAUGAAAGUUAUUUCAUAUGUAAGCUUUUUCCACACACAGGUUGCUUUUCUUUUUCUUUCUUUUUUUUUUUCAAAGAUUUUGUUUAUUCAUGAGAGACAGAGAGAGAGACAGAGGCAGAGACACAAG
RNAcentral lists this long non-coding RNA (1149 nucleotides) under Canis lupus familiaris (dog). RNAcentral describes it as "lncRNA (ENSCAFG00845023513.1)". Lineage: Eukaryota; Metazoa; Chordata; Mammalia; Carnivora; Canidae. The record is from RNAcentral.